UACAGAGGGUGCGAGCGUUGUUCGGAAUUACUGGGCGUAAAGGGUCUGUAGGUGGCCAACUAAGUCAGACGUGAAAUCCCGUCAGCUUAACUGGGGAACUGCGUCUGAUACUGGAUGGCUUGAGUGUGGGAGAGGAAUGCGGAAUUCCAGGUGUAGCGGUGAAAUGCGUAGAUAUCUGGAGGAACACCGGUGGCGAAGGCGGCAUUCUGGACCAUAACUGACACUGAGAGACGAAAGCCAGGGGAGCGAAACGGG
This 255-nucleotide ribosomal RNA is filed under the name uncultured bacterium. Its description in RNAcentral is "partial 16S ribosomal RNA". It matches the Rfam family "Bacterial small subunit ribosomal RNA", at positions 524 to 777 of the family's 1533-position model. The record is from RNAcentral.